Molecule: non-coding RNA, 2400 nt
Organism: Taeniopygia guttata (zebra finch)
Lineage: Eukaryota; Metazoa; Chordata; Aves; Passeriformes; Estrildidae
Source: RefSeq, a predicted model, not a curated record
CAAUAGCAAGUUGAGAUCUCAUAGUGGCAUCUGUGGCCAAAUGUCAGUACUUAAACCAUGUGUACUCUGAAGUUUUUCCAGCAGUCUGUCAUUAAGUAUAACUUGACAAAAUUUAAGUAAUGCCAAUAUGAGAUGAAGACCGUGCUACUGCAAAGCCUUUUACCUUGAAAAAGCCUUUAAUAGCAUUUGGGAAACUAAAUAUACAUUAUAGCUCUGAGCUCUCAGUUUCCAGAGAGUAAAAACAAAUUCUUUCCAUCCAUACAACACUCAACCAUAAGAAUAUCCGGUGUCUUUUUUUAUUACAUAGAGCAGUUUCAGAAGCUUCAGAUGAGAAUAUGUGCACACAUAUAUCCAGUAAUUCUCUGGUGCAUUCUUCCAGCUUUGAACACUGAGUAGAUUACAGACUGAUCUGCUCUGUGCAUCAAGAGCCUCUGUCACACAACUGUGAAACUUGAAAACUGGAGAAGAAUGCAGAGCAUUUUUACAGUCCAGGUCAAGCAACAGCUCUCCCAUGGGAUGUGGUAAGGAUUUAAAGCAUGCAGGUGUCUGUCUCAAGGAACAGUCAAGGCCACAGAAGGAACUACAGUAUAAACCACAACAGCAGAAACUUGAGAUAAGCACAGAUAGCAACAUCAGGAAGGUUCUAAUUCCUGGCCUAAUGGAGGUGAAGACUUGUUUAGCACACUGGACAAAAAUUCCUACUGUGCAGAUUGUGAGAAAGAUAACAAAUACUUAUACCCAUGUGAGCCCAUAUUGUAGGAACAUCUGUGACCACACUGAGGAUACCCAGACUUGAACUGUGUAAAGGUGGUACCACCAGAAGAACAACUCUGAGACCCCCACCACUGAGAAGACCAGGAGGGAGGAGGACUAGCAGGAUGCCACUGCAUCCAUGGGAGUUUCUUUCCAAGAGGCACUGCCUUUGUUACAAGACUGGAGCUUCCUAAUUACCCACAAUGCAUUAACCAUUGCCUAAAAUCUGAUUCCUGGGGCCAGAUGAGCUCAGGCACUUGUGGAGUCCUAUCCUCUCCACAGCAGCCCAAAGAAAGGAGAGAGGAGGAAAAGACUCCUCAUCAACAAAGCAAGGAAAGGAAAUUACCUGAUGGAAAGGAAUGAAGAUGAGAGAGCUGGAGUCUUCUGUAGGACCAAGUGAAACACCAAGAGGUAAUCAACCUGAAUGACAAAUUUCAGCAAUGGAAAGUGCCAGAUUACGCACCUGGGAAGGAUGACCCCUGGAUGUACACAGACUGAGGAGUGAGAUGCUGGGAAGCAGUGCUACAGAAAGGGAUUUGGGGGUCUUGGUUGAUGCAGAGUUGGAUAUGUGUCAGCAGGGUCCUGGUAGCCAGGGGAGCCAUCUGUGUCCAAUGGUUCAUCAGGAACAGCAUCAUCCUGGACAUCCUACUAUAGCUGACCCUGCCUGAAUGGGGAGGGUGAGUGUGGUGUUUGGGAUGUGUGGACUAGAUGAUUUCCAGAGCUCCCUCCCAACUUCACCUUUUCUGAGAUACUGUGAUUCUAUGAGCUGAAGUCUCCCAGUUCUAAAGAACAACAUGAUCCAGAUUCUGAUUUCAAGGGCACUGAAGUAACUCUUAGGAUAUCUGAUGCCUUUCCCUGAAGUCAAAUGAAAACGGGGAAAUAGGUUUCUCAGAACAAGAUUCACAGCCCCAUACAAGCUUGGGCGUUCAUGGAGAUCUUCACUUCCAAUUGGGAAAUCAAAACAAUUUUCUCCCUUAAAGAAAGGAACAAAAUUAAUUAUUCCAUCCCAGAGGGAAGAAAGUAACACGAAUCAAGAAAAUAAAAAAGGACAAGCUUUAUUUGAGCUUCUGUUUGAUUCUUGUGUGGAAAAAAUAACUCUUGGGUCCCCUCUGAGCAGACAAGCCAUUUUAUACCACUGUUGAAGUAGUCUACAAGCACUGGAAUAAAAAUUCAUAACAUUUCAGUCAAUCACCUGCUAUGUGAGUCAGAGAACAGUAAGCUGAGCAACUAGACCAUCUACGUUGAUAGCUUAAAUCACACUAAAAGGGAAAAGUGUAAAGCUUCAAAAUUUAACACAGUCCAAUAAACGUGCACUUCACUGAGGUUUGUUUUUUUUCUUAUAUAAGGGGCAGAGCAAGAUAUAGAUCAUAAAAAGCUAAGUAAAAUCUGACAUUACACUGAAGAUUUAAUACUCACUGUUUUCCACUGCCAAUGUAAUCAGAGAAAUAAAACUCCAACUAUUACAAGCCAAGCAUAUUAAAGAAGCAGAGUUUAUCUUCCCAAAACCGCUGCAUUAAUUGUCUUGUCAAGUAUUAGUAGUCAAGUUUUAUCCCUUAAUGAGGAAAGUGUCAUGAAUUAAGAAAAGUGAAAUGUCUCGAAUAAUAAUCAUAAAGUUAAAUAAAAUGAAUUAAUGAAAGGAUAUGUACA